GCGAGUGAAGAGGGAAGAGCUCAAAUUUGAAAUCUGGCGGUCUCAGGCCGUCCGAGUUGUAAUCUAGAGAGGUGUUUUCCGUGCCGGACCGUGUACAAGUCCCUUGGAACAGGGCGUCAUAGAGGGUGAGAAUCCCGUCCAUGACACGGACUCCCGGUGCUCUGUGAUACGCCUUCGAAGAGUCGAGUUGUUUGGGAAUGCAGCUCAAAACGGGUGGUAAAUUCCAUCUAAAGCUAAAUACAGGCGAGAGACCGAUAGCGAACAAGUACCGUGAGGGAAAGAUGAAAAGAACUUUGGAAAGAGAGUUAAACAGUACGUGAAAUUGUUGAAAGGGAAACGCUUGAAGUCAGUCGCGUCUGCCAGGACUCAGCCUUGCUUCUGCUCGGUGCACUUCCUGGUGGAUGGGCCAGCAUCGAUUUUGGCCGCCGGAAAAGGGCGGGAGGAAUGUGGCAGCUUGCUGUGUUAUAGCCUCCCGUCGUACACGGUGGUUGGGAUCGAGGAAUGCAGCACGCCUUUUGGUCGGGGUUCGCCCACGCCACGUGCUUAGGAUGCUGGCGUAAUGGCUUUAAACGACCCGUCUUGAAACACGGACCAAGGAGUCUAACAUGCCUGCGAGUGUUUGGGUGUCAAACCCAGGCGCGUAAUGAAAGUGAAAAGUUGGGACUCUUUAGUGAGGCACCGACGCCCGAUCCUGACGUUUUCUGACGGAUUUGAGGCAGAGCAUGUAUGUUGGGACCCGAAAGAUGGUGAACUAUGCCUGAAUAGGGUGAAGCCAGAGGAAACUCUGG
This 788-nucleotide ribosomal RNA is filed under the name Exidia candida var. cartilaginea. Its description in RNAcentral is "eukaryotic LSU rRNA". It matches the Rfam family "Eukaryotic large subunit ribosomal RNA", at positions 89 to 867 of the family's 3401-position model. The record is from RNAcentral. Lineage: Eukaryota; Fungi; Basidiomycota; Agaricomycetes; Auriculariales; Exidiaceae.